Molecule: non-coding RNA, 81 nt
Organism: Lepisosteus oculatus (spotted gar)
Lineage: Eukaryota; Metazoa; Chordata; Actinopteri; Semionotiformes; Lepisosteidae
Source: Rfam
GCCAUGCUUUAGCAGCACGUAAAUAUUGGAGUUAAACCACUUCAUAUCUCUCCAGUAUUGAUCGUGCUGCUGAAGUAAGAU